This 69-nucleotide transfer RNA is filed under the name Nothobranchius vosseleri. RNAcentral describes it as "tRNA-Pro". It matches the Rfam family "tRNA". Rfam says of the family: Transfer RNA (tRNA) molecules are approximately 80 nucleotides in length. Their secondary structure includes four short double-helical elements and three loops (D, anti-codon, and T loops). The record is from RNAcentral. Lineage: Eukaryota; Metazoa; Chordata; Actinopteri; Cyprinodontiformes; Nothobranchiidae.
CAGAGAAUAGUUUAAUUAAAAUUCUGGCUUUGGGAGUCAGGGAUAUGGGUUAAACCCCCCUUUUUCUGA